RNAcentral lists this ribosomal RNA (493 nucleotides) under uncultured bacterium. RNAcentral describes it as "bacterial SSU rRNA". It matches the Rfam family "Bacterial small subunit ribosomal RNA", at positions 29 to 503 of the family's 1533-position model. The record is from RNAcentral.
AACGAACGCUGGCGGCAGGCUUAACACAUGCAAGUCGAGCGCCCCUCCUUCAAGCGAGCUUGAAGGAGUUCUUUCCUGUGAGAGAACUUCGAGCAAGCCAGGCUUGCUUGAUGGAGGGGAGCGGCAGACGGGUGAGUAACGCGUGGGAAUGUACCCUUUGCUACGGAAUAGCUCCGGGAAACUGGAAUUAAUACCGUAUGUGCCCUUCGGGGGAAAGAUUUAUCGGCAAAGGAUCAGCCCGCGUUGGAUUAGCUAGUUGGUGGGGUAAUGGCCUACCAAGGCGACGAUCCAUAGCUGGUCUGAGAGGAUGAUCAGCCACACUGGGACUGAGACACGGCCCAGACUCCUACGGGAGGCAGCAGUGGGGAAUAUUGGACAAUGGGCGCAAGCCUGAUCCAGCCAUGCCGCGUGAGUGAUGAAGGCCCUAGGGUUGUAAAGCUCUUUCACCGGUGAAGAUAAUGACGGUAACCGGAGAAGAAGUCCCGGCUAACUU